GAUGACAUCUUCGUUUUUCUGACACUUAGGUCACUGCGCAUGCGCAAACAACGGCGCUCAGUGCAGCAAAGCUAACAAGCUUGUCAGCGAGUUACCGCCAAUUUUCAGCCCUCGGUUUUUUCUCUUAAGGGUAUAAAAAUGAGUGGGGGAGCUGGACCAAGUAAGAAGACAAAAACUUAUCACUUUCAUUAAUUUUUUCACGAUGACAUUUUCGAAGUGCGUUUGCCUCAUCUGCCAAUCUGCCAUCGCAAUACCAAAGAAGGGAAAUGUGGAGCGGCAUUUUCGGACUAUUCAUGGAAAAUACGACACCGACUUCCCGCUGAAAAGCGAGCUGAGAAAGAGAAAGGUGAAGGAACUGAAAUCCCAGUUGUCCGGACAGCAGUCAUUUUUCACACAACAAACUUCAAAAGCGAAAGUCGCCACCGAAGUAUCAUUCCGGGAUGACGGCUAAGAUGGAGCCUAUCCCAGCUGACUUUGCGUAAGAGGAAGGAUCGCCUACACCAGGGGUCGGCAACCCAACAUGCCAUAUUGGACCCAAAAUACAAACAAAAAAAUUUGUCUGGAGCCGCAAAAACUGAAAAGUCUUAUACAAGUGUUAUAAUGAAGGCAACACAUGAGAAGUCCAGGGGGCCACUAGGACGGCGCGAAAGAGACGCGGGUUGCUGACCCCCGGCCUGCACCCUAGACUGGCCGCCAGUUCAUCACAGGACACACGAACAACCCUUCGCCCUCAAAUCAGAGAAAAAUGGCAACAGCGGAGGAUGAAUGUCCCAUAACAAGAAGGUGGAGAAAAAGAAGAAGCUUAUCGACUACGGUGUCGGCACGGACUACAAAGGCGGACCUGCACGAAUAUUCCGGACUUAUACAGAUCAGCAGGUACCAGAAGGUAAGAAAACUUGCUUUUGCAUAAUAUUGGGAAACAAAACACCAGAAAAUAUCUUACCUUAUACACACACCAUAAUAAUACUCGUAUGUUAAAGCACAGUACAAUCCAUCAAGCGAUGUGUAGCUUACCAAAGUCCUACUAAAACAUUUUGAUAGAUUUUUGAGCCCCAUGUCUAAUGUUCUUUAUUUUCAAUGGAGCAUAUACAAUGUUGGUGUUGUUUACUUGUCAUAUUGCAGUCUACACGAAAUAAAACAAAAUAAAAUCAAUAACGGAGCAGCAUCUCCUCAUCCGGAAACAACCACACCGGAAAUGUGUCCCGUGAAAAACCGUCCGACCGGAACUGUCUAAUAACUAAAGUUCCUUGGGUGAGUAAGGUAAAGUCACUACACCGGUAUGUUUUAGCACUUUCAUGGCGAGUUUACUGACAGAUAUAAGUAAUAACUUUACACUACUUUAUAUUAGAAAUGGCAACAGCGGAGGAUGAAUGUCCCAUAACAAGAAGAUGGAGAAAAAGAAGAAGCUGAUCGACUACGGUGUCGGCACGGACUACAAAGGCGGACCUGCACGAAUUUUCCGGACUUAUGCAGAUCCCAAAUGCAAAUCAGCAGGUACCAGAAGGUUCUUACACAGACCAGGCUGCUCUUUUUGAUGGCGAGCUAAGGAAAAGAAGCAUCUAGUCCAAGGAUCGUUCUUGGAAGAUUCCAGCCAGGAACCCCACCACCUGUUCUGUCUGGGCUGGUAGGAGGCUCUCGAGCCAACCCUCUACACAUUUUCAUCCUUAACUUACAGCACUGCCAUCCUUUUUUCCAAUAACUCUAUUAAGUCAGAGCUGAGAUUUAUACAAGAUCCAGAGACACUAAAUAAUUGAAUUGGAAUUGUAUAUAUGUAUAUAGUAACUGUGUUUUUCUUCAAAUAGCUUUUCAUGUUGAAUGGCCAUUGAAUGGUCAUUGUUGUGUAUAUAUCUGCUGUCCAUCACUAAUUCUUUAAUACACGCUGCCAACCAAACUGCAAUUCAAGCUCUGCCUUCUCUCUCCGAGUCGAAACUCUAGUCUUCUGUUCCUAGCCCAUAACACCCCAUAUAUAUUGAUUUGUAGCACGUAUAGGUUACACAUUACAUUGUAUCGUAUGCAUGUUCCAAAUAAACUAAAACUGAAGAAAACAGAGCAAAAAGAUGUAACGGGAUGAGAAAAAAGUAGCAAAUUUGAUACAAAAUUAGAAAAUCUAAGUAUGUGGGGGGACAUUUUGUUAUUUUUUUAUUUUGUCAAACCAAAAAAUGCUACAAACAUAGACGUUAUAUAUCAAAACUUAGUGUCCG
This is a long non-coding RNA of Nerophis lumbriciformis (worm pipefish), 2201 nucleotides long. RefSeq lists it as uncharacterized. NCBI's taxonomy places the organism in Eukaryota, Metazoa, Chordata, Actinopteri, Syngnathiformes, Syngnathidae. The record is from RefSeq and is a predicted model, not a curated record.